UACAGAGGUCUCAAGCGUUGUUCGGAUUCAUUGGGCGUAAAGAGCUCGUAGGCGGUGUGUCGCGUCGGCCGUGAAAACCUGCAGCUUAACUGUGGGCUUGCGGUCGAUACGGGCAUCACUGGAGUUCGGCAGGGGAGACUGGAAUUCCUGGUGUAGCGGUGAAAUGCGCAGAUAUCAGGAGGAACACCGGUGGCGAAGGCGGGUCUCUGGGCCGAUACUGACGCUGAGGAGCGAAAGCGUGGGGAGCAAACAGG
RNAcentral lists this ribosomal RNA (254 nucleotides) under uncultured bacterium. RNAcentral's name for it is "partial 16S ribosomal RNA". It matches the Rfam family "Bacterial small subunit ribosomal RNA", at positions 524 to 776 of the family's 1533-position model. The record is from RNAcentral.